UUGAUAUAUCCAGUGGGGUUUUACACACGAAAAGCUAGCAACCUGAAAAAAGUAGCAAAAAUUUGUCUAUCAAAAUACAAUGGGGACAUCCCUAGUUCAUUGGAAGAAUUGCUUCUGCUCCCAGGAAUUGGUCCCAAGAUGGCUCAUCUAGUUAUGAAUGUUGCAUGGGAAAACGUCCAAGGGAUAUGUGUAGAUACUCAUGUGCAUCGUAUUUCUAAUCGGCUUGAAUGGGUAUCACGUCCUGGAACUAAGCAGAAAACGAGAACCCCUGAGGAG
RNAcentral lists this unclassified non-coding RNA (276 nucleotides) under Hevea brasiliensis (rubber tree). The record is from RNAcentral. Lineage: Eukaryota; Viridiplantae; Streptophyta; Magnoliopsida; Malpighiales; Euphorbiaceae.